This is a long non-coding RNA of Gymnogyps californianus (California condor), 352 nucleotides long. RefSeq lists it as uncharacterized. The record is from RefSeq and is a predicted model, not a curated record. The transcript has 2 exons. NCBI's taxonomy places the organism in Eukaryota, Metazoa, Chordata, Aves, Accipitriformes, Cathartidae.
UGCACAGCAGAAAUCUGUGCAGCGAAGGUGUCCUCAGCCUGGACUUCCUCUGGUAAAUGAAAGACUGAUGUGUUGGGCUGGUCAGGAAAGACCGGGAUGAAAAUCAGGCUCUUGCCUGCACUGGGAAUCCCUGCCUUGAAUUGCAGAGAGGAGGCAGCAGAGAAGCUGCUGAAUACGGACGAGCCGAUGCAAGUCAUUAGAACAACGGUGGACAGCAGCGGGGCUGCAGUAUUGAAUAAACCAUAGGGGCUAUUGUUGUCUUUCAGAAAGACUAUCUAAUUUUUUUUUUUUAUGGAACUUGUAGCCAUUUUUAAGCUUUCAUUUUUCAUAAUGUCACAGAUAAUCUUUUAUC